RNAcentral lists this ribosomal RNA (42 nucleotides) under Valsaria sp. KUC21230. Its description in RNAcentral is "partial 18S ribosomal RNA". The record is from RNAcentral. RNAcentral also lists the same sequence under 2 other names. Lineage: Eukaryota; Fungi; Ascomycota; Dothideomycetes; Valsariales; Valsariaceae.
UGAACCUGCGGAAGGAUCAUUAAAAGAGAGCGGCCGCCCCUC